UUCAUCAAAGUCCAUUUACAGAUCACUUAUAGCCCAACAAUCCUAGCCCAAAUAUUUAACCCAAUUGAAACCCGACCCAGGGGGUCCAAUUUUCGGUUUCAGGAGUUGAAACCCCAAAUCCUAGUGCAACAGUAUAUUGGGGAACGGAUGCAAAUCAAUAAAAUCAAAAAACAAAAGAACAGUAUUUGUUAAAGGUGAUUUUCCAUUUUUUCCUUUUUCGUUUUUGAUUUUAUAUUCAUUUUUUUCUUUUGCUUUGAUACGGAAAAAUGGG
RNAcentral lists this long non-coding RNA (271 nucleotides) under Gossypium barbadense (sea-island cotton). Its description in RNAcentral is "long non-coding RNA (GBAR_LNC007373)". The record is from RNAcentral. Lineage: Eukaryota; Viridiplantae; Streptophyta; Magnoliopsida; Malvales; Malvaceae.